CCCUUAGAUGUUCUGGGCCGCACGCGCGCUACACUGAUGCAUUCAACGAGUUUCUUCCUGGUCCGAGAGGAAUGGGUAACCUUUUGAAAGUGCAUCGUGAUAGGGAUAGACUAUUGCAAUUAUUGGUCUUCAACGAGGAAUUCCUAGUAGACGUAGUUCAUCAGACUGCAUCGAUUACGUCCCUGCCCUUUGUACACACCGCCCGUCGCUCCUACCGAUUGAAUGAUCCGAUGAAUACCAUGGAUUGAGAGUACGAAUAGGUUCGCUUAUUUCUGCUGCUCGAGAAGUGGAGUAAAUCUUAUCAUUUAGAGGAAGGAGAAGUCGUAACA
RNAcentral lists this ribosomal RNA (329 nucleotides) under uncultured eukaryote. Its description in RNAcentral is "partial 18S ribosomal RNA". It matches the Rfam family "Eukaryotic small subunit ribosomal RNA", at positions 1470 to 1796 of the family's 1831-position model. The record is from RNAcentral.